Non-coding RNA from Lamprotornis superbus, 70 nucleotides. NCBI's taxonomy places the organism in Eukaryota, Metazoa, Chordata, Aves, Passeriformes, Sturnidae. The record is from the annotation of a GenBank genome assembly.
GAUUAGCUCAGCUGGUUAGAGCAUGGUGUUAAUGCUGCCAAGGUUGUGGUUUCGAUCCCCGUAUGGGCCA